GACGAACGCUGGCGGCGUGCCUAAUACAUGCAAGUCGAGCGGACCAAAGGGAGCUUGCUCCUGGAGGUUAGCGGCGAACGGGUGAGUAACACGUGGGCAACCUGCCUGUAAGACUGGGAUAACAUCGAGAAAUCGGUGCUAAUACCGGAUAAUAAAAAGAACUGCAUGGUUCUUUUUUGAAAGAUGGUUUCGGCUAUCACUUACAGAUGGGCCCGCGGCGCAUUAGCUAGUUGGUGGGGUAACGGCUCACCAAGGCGACGAUGCGUAGCCGACCUGAGAGGGUGAUCGGCCACACUGGGACUGAGACACGGCCCAGACUCCUACGGGAGGCAGCAGUAGGGAAUCUUCCGCAAUGGACGAAAGUCUGACGGAGCAACGCCGCGUGAGUGAUGAAGGUUUUCGGAUCGUAAAACUACUGUUGUUAGGGGAGAACAAGUGCCGUUCGAAAGGGCGGCACCUUGACGGUACCUAACGAGAAAGCCACGGCUAACUACGUGCCAGCAGCCGCGGU
RNAcentral lists this ribosomal RNA (511 nucleotides) under uncultured bacterium. RNAcentral's name for it is "bacterial SSU rRNA". It matches the Rfam family "Bacterial small subunit ribosomal RNA", at positions 28 to 521 of the family's 1533-position model. The record is from RNAcentral.